Molecule: ribosomal RNA, 223 nt
Filed under: Escherichia coli
Lineage: Bacteria; Pseudomonadati; Pseudomonadota; Gammaproteobacteria; Enterobacterales; Enterobacteriaceae
Description: partial 23S ribosomal RNA
Rfam family: Bacterial large subunit ribosomal RNA
Source: RNAcentral
CGACACAGGUGGUCAGGUAGAGAAUACCAAGGCGCUUGAGAGAACUCGGGUGAAGGAACUAGGCAAAAUGGUGCCGUAACUUCGGGAGAAGGCACGCUGAUAUGUAGGUGAAGUCCCUCGCGGAUGGAGCUGAAAUCAGUCGAAGAUACCAGCUGGCUGCAACUGUUUAUUAAAAACACAGCACUGUGCAAACACGAAAGUGGACGUAUACGGUGUGACGCCU